AAGUUGUUUGUAAACAACUAGGAUACAGCCAAGAUGGAGAGGGAUCAAUAUUUAGAUAUUCUAAAUUUGGUGAUGGAGACUAUCAACAAUUUUUAUGGAAUAUUCAGUGUACUGGAUCAGAAACUAACUUGGCAUCUUGUAAUAAUUACCACAGUGAUAAUUGCUAUUAUGGACGCACUGUUGGCAUCAAGUGUUACAAUACAAGUAAUUGCACUGAUGGUGAAAUCAAGUUGUAUGGGGGACAGUCUAAUGCUGAAGGAGAUC
Amphimedon queenslandica is the source of this 264-nucleotide long non-coding RNA. RefSeq lists it as uncharacterized. Lineage: Eukaryota; Metazoa; Porifera; Demospongiae; Haplosclerida; Niphatidae. The transcript has 3 exons. The record is from RefSeq and is a predicted model, not a curated record.